Molecule: long non-coding RNA, 2198 nt
Organism: Engraulis encrasicolus (European anchovy)
Lineage: Eukaryota; Metazoa; Chordata; Actinopteri; Clupeiformes; Engraulidae
Exons: 2
Source: RefSeq, a predicted model, not a curated record
GGUAGCAGAGACUUGGCUGAGUGUAGCAAGGAGAUGAAAAGAGAGGAGGGGGGAGAGGAGACGAGAGGAGACAUCGGGGAUAGUGAACCUCAGGGAAGUGUUGAGCAGGGUUGGUGGCACGACAUGGGACGAGGGAGAGAAGUAAGAGGUUACAGGGUGGACAAACAGCAGAGGUUAUAGAGGUCAGGGGUCAGGAACGGGACAGGGUUCCAACAUCAAACGUUGAACAACAAGUGGAGACAUGAUAAGGCUCAGGAUGGACGAUACGGUAACAGGACUCAGAGGAGCUCCAAAAUUAUACACGUUACAGAUGAAGAGGUAACAGGGGGGCAGGUAAAUUGGGCUUAGGGGUUUCACUGUGGGCAGACACGUUUUCCAUCCCGUUUGGGGACGGAUGGAAGUGGUAACAGGGUUCAGGAGGGACAUUUCCAAGAUGGAGGGAAAAAAUUACAGCCGGUUUCUGGAAGGACAUUUUAUGGACAAACCAAAAAAAAAAAUAGUUUCUAAAAUGAUAUUUGAAAAUCGUGGUAAUGGACAGAGUUACUAGAAUGACAUUUUAGGAUUCUGAUAAGGGACAGUAGAAGUAAGAGGGCUUUCCUUUGGCUUCGUGUGGACAUUUCAUGCUCCCUCUUAUGAACGAAACGAGUACCCUGUAAUUUAUCAAUACAAACACUCCUGUUUUAAAUGGGGUUAAUCAAAACACUAAUCUCUCUGGUAUCUGAAAGUGAUCAUUUGUUUGUCCCUAUAGCCACUGGCUGAUUUUUUUUCUUGCUGUGAAACGUGUUGUGCAAUCAUCAUAUUAAUUCCCAUACUACGCUUGCAGUUCACUUUUUUUGCUUAGCGAUCUGGAGGUCGGCCUCUGACCAUGUGCUGCUUGCUGCUGGUUCAAAUGGCUCUCACUGUGUUGGCUUGUAGACUAUCAGCCAUUUGACACAUAUAAUGCAUUGUGUGUUAAACAGUUUAUUGUGUAUAGCAGUGGUUUUCAACCUGUGGGCCGGGGCCCACUGGUGGGCCCUGAAGGUAUUCCAAGUGGGCCUUGAAAUAAUUUUCUAAAAAUUAUAAUCACAUUUUGGUGUGUUGCUGUUAAUUUAUUUGAGUUUUAUUCGUAAUUGGGUCAGAGGUGGGCCCCGAACAUUUCUGACAAUUUCGAGUGGGCCCCAAGUUGGAAAAGGCUGGGAACCCCUUGGUGUAUAGUGUAUGUCUAUGCUCUCAGCUUCUUGAGUUAGCCCCUACCUAACCCAUGCCUUUUCAGUUUGCUCAACCCUGUUCAAAUUGUGUUUGGGUUGGCUCAACUCUUUGCGUUCAAGUUCAAGCUCAAAUCUAUGCAAUUUGAGUUACAGUAGCUCUACCAUUUUCAGUUGAGUUAGCUCAAGUCUAUGUGUUUGAGUUAGCUCAACCCUAUCUGUCUGAGUGCGCUCACCCUGUCCUCAACUGAACUAAACACUAAGGUGCCUCCUGAUUUUCCUGUGCAAGACGAGAGCGUUGCUCUAUGAAACUGUGUUGGAGCUGCCGUGUGCAGAGACAAACUCAUGGACCUACAGAAUAGAUCAAAACCUGCACAACUUGGCAUUGCACAUUGUCCCCCUAAUGCAGGGGUGGGGAACCUAUGUAAUGAGGGCCGUUUGCGGCCCUUGAGCUUGUCUUAUCCGGCCCCGAUAUAGUUUUAAUGUAUACAGCUUCACAUGAAAUAUGACUUAUUUUGUAAAGGAAUCUUAGAAAUUACGUUCGCAAUACACUGAAAGUUAUAUUUCAGGGGACCUAGAGAAGGUAGAGUGUGUUUUAAAGGUCAUCAAAAAUCAAUCAAAAUGCCUACAGUAUGCUAUCUGCAUUUAGACAGAUGGUCCCAGUCUAAAUUGUGAUUAGAUUGAUAAGGUUAACAGAAACAAUAUGAAAUGGAAAAGGCACACACACUCUCACUCUCCCUGCUCACUGUGUUACGUUUGCAAUGAUGAUGAUGAUGACGGUGAUGACGGUGAUGAAGAUGCGUUGUUCAUGCGUGAAGCUUUAUGACUUGUUUCCUGUAAAUAGUUGUAUGAUGUAUAAACUACAGUGUGUGUAUAAAAUAAUUAAAAAGAGUUAACUGUGUUCAUUCCUGUCACCCUCCAUAGCAGUGUGUCUAUGGGACUGAUGAUUAUACUGGUACUAAUAUUGUAUAUUUGGACUCAUUCACACCAUGAAUAAACUCUAUUUUCCUCCUA